RNAcentral lists this long non-coding RNA (1127 nucleotides) under Marmota marmota marmota (Alpine marmot). RNAcentral describes it as "lncRNA (ENSMMMG00000005295.1)". The record is from RNAcentral. Lineage: Eukaryota; Metazoa; Chordata; Mammalia; Rodentia; Sciuridae.
GGUGGCAGGAAGGCUUCCUGGGUUGUGGUGCACUUUGGCACAUACACAGUGUGUCUCUUGGUCAGGACAGUCCCUCUCCCUCACCUCCUGUGUGUCUCUUGGUCAGGUCAGUCCCUCUCCCUCACCUCCUGUGUGUCUCUUGGUCAGGUCAGUCCCUCUCCCUCACCUCCUGUGUGUCUCUUGGUCAGGUCAGUCCCUCUCCCUCACCUCCUGUGUGUCUCUUGGUCAGGUCAGUCCCUCUCCCUCACCUCCUGUGUGUCUCUUGGUCAGGUCAGUCCCUCUCCCUCACCUCCUGUGUGUCUCUUGGUCAGGUCAGUCCCUCUCCCUCACCUCCUGUGUGUCUCUUGGUCAGGUCAGUCCCUCUCCCUCACCUCCUGUGUGUCUCUUGGUCAGGUCAGUCCCUCUCCCUCACCUCCUGUGUGUCUCUUGGUCAGGUCAGUCCCUCUCCCUCACCUCCUGUGUGUCUCUUGGUCAGGUCAGUCCCUCUCCCUCACCUCCUGUGUGUCUCUUGGUCAGGUCAGUCCCUCUCCCUCACCUCCUGUGUGUCUCUUGGUCAGGUCAGUCCCUCUCCCUCACCUCCUGUGUGUCUCUUGGUCAGGUCAGUCCCUCUCCCUCACCUCCUGUGUGUCUCUUGGUCAGGUCAGUCCCUCUCCCUCACCUCCUGUGUGUCUCUUGGUCAGGUCAGUCCCUCUCCCUCACCUCCUGUGUGUCUCUUGGUCAGGUCAGUCCCUCUCCCUCACCUCCUGUGUGUCUCUUGGUCAGGUCAGUCCCUCUCCCUCACCUCCUGUGUGUCUCUUGGUCAGGUCAGUCCCUCUCCCUCACCUCCUGUGUGUCUCUUGGUCAGGUCAGUCCCUCUCCCUCACCUCCUGUGUGUCUCUUGGUCAGGUCAGUCCCUCUCCCUCACCUCCUGUGUGUCUCUUGGUCAGGUCAGUCCCUCUCCCUCACCUCCUGUGUGUCUCUUGGUCAGGUCAGUCCCUCUCCCUCACCUCCUGUGUGUCUCUUGGUCAGGUCAGUCCCUCUCCCUCACCUCCUGUGUGUCUCUUGGUCAGGUCAGUCCCUCUCCCUCACCUCCUGUGUGUCUCUUGGUCAGGUCAGUCCCUCUCCCUCACCUCCUGUGUGUCUCUUGG